UCGCGACAGUUGCUCACGUCCUACGGUGUGGACGUCUAUUGAUAAGCGUCCCUUGACAUUGUAUAUAUAACAGCAGUCUCAUCAAUAAAGAUUAACGAUUCUCAUUAUCUCUCGUUUUCAUCUCCGAACACGUUAUCAGCACCUUUGUCUCGAUUGAGAGCAUUAGGCCAAGAGAAACAGAGAGAAGAAUGGCUGCACGACGCCCCGCGCCCUCGCCUAUGGCCGUCUCCAACCCCUUGCGGCCAGCGAUGUGGUUGUCGACGCGGACACUGCUAGGCCGUCGCGCCUGCCGUCCCCGACGCCCGCUACUCCUCUGCAUGCACUAGCGGUGCCCCGAGGUGCCUGACCGCGCUGCCUCCAUCGCGGGGCGCAAUGUAGCGGCGGCACCACGCCCGUGGUCGCCCGGCCUGGCACAGCGCUCGGCCUCCGCUCCGUCACCCGCGCGCCUGCUCGACGUCGCCGCCUGGCUCGUGCCGGCGCCUCGAUCGCGCUCACGCGCAUCAGUGCCUGGCCCGCGCGCCCGCCUGCGCCGUGGCCUUCAGCCUCAUCACGAAGCACUACAGGCGGUGGAUCCCUCGGCUACCAUCGGCGAGGCGCCUCAUUGGCGUCCAAGGGCCGGACCACCGCAUUCGGCCGUGCCCCGCGUGCCGCCCGCGCCGACUGGCCUCUGUGCCGUUCCCGCAGCCUCCACGCCCACCCAGCAUCCGGCCAUGCGCCGCACCAGCGGCCUCCACGCCGCCCGGCCUCCGCGUCGUGCCCCGCGCCUAUACGCUCCCGGUUGUGCGCGUGGCCGCAUGGCCGCGACCGGCGACGUGAUCGUGCGGUGGCCGGCCUGAGCAAACCAUCGAUCCAAUUGGUAACCGUCCAGGAACGAGAUAGAAUCUUAUCCUUUGCCAUUUUGCACUAAGAUCCUUCUAUACGGAGGAAAUAGCAAAAUAGGCUGAAACAGGUGUUAAACUGGUUCUAAUAACAAUACUAUCUACUACAGUACUAUUUAUUUGUUUUAGACCCCGUUGUUUCCAACAUUUUUCUGUUGAGUAUACUGCUCCAGAAAUUUAAGAUAUAAAUAAUUUCAUGCUCACAUAUGUCGAGGUUAUUUAUAUCUAUUAUUUGCAGUAGAGAUUUUUUUCAAUCUUUUGCAAAGAUAAAUUAAGUACUUCUAUAGUACUAUUAUUCCGUUGAAUAUGAGAUAUUCCGGAAUAUUUCUAUGAUGCAUCUAAUUUCAUGUUAAACACAUGUUGAGAUUAUUUAUGUCUAUUAUUUGCAAUUGUGAUCUUUAAUAUUUUGCAAAGAUAAAUCCGGUACCUCUAAAGUACUUAUUUGCGAUUGAGAAUUUUCUUCUCUCGCAAAACAAUCUCACUGCAAUUGAGAUUAAUUUUCUCUCACAAAAUAGUAAUUCACCUUGCUGAAUUAUGUUGAAACUCGAUACAAGAUCGUCUCGUUUAAUUUGAGGUCGAUACAAUUUAAGUUUUUCACUUGAGCAUCAAGUUUACAACAUCAUUACUAUUCAUUACAAUAGUAGUGUAUUUCUGUUGAGUGUCGAGUUGUAUUCCAGACCUAAAGUUGAUGUAAUAUAUUUCCUCGUUUAUCACGUGUUGAGAUUAAUUACAUCCAUUUGCAAUAGAGAUUUUGAAUAUCUUGCAAAUAUAAAUUCAGUACCUCUGCAGUACUCUUUCUCCGUUGAGUACUAUGUAUUCCGGAAUGUAUGUAUCUCCAUUUUUGCUACAUAUCGAGAUUAAUAUAGCUAUUUGCAAUUGAGAUUUUCAAUUUCUUGCAAAUAUUGAUGCAAAAUUUAAAGUGAUUUCUUCAAAUUGAUGCUUGGGAUCACAAGGUAGUGUGUAGAUCUACUGCUUGUAGAUUACCACCAUUACUGUUAAAGCCUAAAUUUUGUCAUUUUAACAUUACGAUUGCUUUACAAUGUGCUUUCCCACACAUUUUUGUAAGUCAUGACAUAAGGCAUUACAAGUGAGUAUCUACUGACUUCAUCAGAUUAUACUCCCUAGUUGUGAGAGAUCUACUCCAUUUUGGAGAUUAUCUUCAAGGUGUCAUAUUUAGCAAUUUGAGAUUCACACUACUGGUUUCAAGAUAACUUCUUGAAAUACCCAUUGAUUUUGCUAAGUUCAUUACAACAUCAACCAUGAUGGUCUUUAAUUUACCGGUUGUAAAUUAAUUAUCUCUGGUUUACCCAUAGAGGUAACAUAUGGCUAUAUAAUUUGAGGCAUUCACCCUCAAUGGCCACAUUGCCCUAUCUGGGCCGUAGACAUCAUGAUCGCUCUUGUGUCUCGUGGGACAAUGUCUGCAAUCCUAGAUUCACCUCUGGUCAGGAUCACAUUGCUAACAGAAAAAUGUUGUCUUAUAUAUCAUAAGGCAUUAGAUUCAUAUCUCAGUAUCUGGCUAUUCUGUAUCAGCAAUUUCUGGGGUACUAUGACCUCAAGGGCAAAGGUUUGAAGCUCACUUCGACUUUCAACCCGACGUCACCAGGUGUCACG
RNAcentral lists this long non-coding RNA (2489 nucleotides) under Hordeum vulgare. RNAcentral describes it as "long non-coding RNA (HVUL_LNC009672)". The record is from RNAcentral. Lineage: Eukaryota; Viridiplantae; Streptophyta; Magnoliopsida; Poales; Poaceae.